GGGGACGUGGCGAAACUGGUAGACGCAGCGGACUUAAAAUCCGCAGCCGCAAGGUGUGUGGGUUCGAGUCCCACCGUCCCCACCA
This 85-nucleotide transfer RNA is filed under the name Caulobacter sp. RNAcentral describes it as "tRNA-Leu". It matches the Rfam family "tRNA". Rfam says of the family: Transfer RNA (tRNA) molecules are approximately 80 nucleotides in length. Lineage: Bacteria; Pseudomonadati; Pseudomonadota; Alphaproteobacteria; Caulobacterales; Caulobacteraceae. The record is from RNAcentral.